RNAcentral lists this ribosomal RNA (492 nucleotides) under uncultured bacterium. RNAcentral's name for it is "partial 16S ribosomal RNA". It matches the Rfam family "Bacterial small subunit ribosomal RNA", at positions 30 to 507 of the family's 1533-position model. The record is from RNAcentral.
AUUGAACGCUGGCGGUAUGCCUAACACAUGCAAGUCGAACGGCAGCACAGUAAGGGCUUGCUCUUACGGGUGGAGAGUGGCGGACGGGUGAGGAAUACAUCGGAAUCUACUUUUUCGUGGGGGAUAACGUAGGGAAACUUACGCUAAUACCUCAUACGACCUACGGGUGAAAGCAGGGGAUCUUCUGACCUUGCGCGAUUGAAUGAGCCGAUGUCGGAUUAGCUAGUUGGCGGGGUAAAGGCCCACCAAGGCGACGAUCCGUAGCUGGUCUGAGAGGAUGAUCAGCCACACUGGAACUGAGACACGGUCCAGACUCCUACGGGAGGCAGCAGUGGGGAAUAUUGGACAAUGGGCGCAAGCCUGAUCCAGCAAUACCGCGUGGGUGAAGAAGGCCUUCGGGUUGUAAAGCCCUUUUGUUGGGAAAGAAAAGCAGCAGGUUAAUACCCCGCUGUGCUGACGGUACCCAAAGAAUAAGCACCGGCUAACUUCGUG